UUACUAGAUUUAUUAUUUAUAUAUAUUCACGAAAAGAGGUGAGUUAAAUAUAAUCAAUUAUAGGUGCAUAAUUACUACGUAGUAUAGUAGUAUAAUAAUUAUAUUUUGUAGUGAUAGGCCUACCAAGCUUCUUGAUAACUUGUUGUGUAAGAAAUAUAUUAAGUAUUAAAUCAACCUAUUAAAGUUAAGCUUUGUAGGUUAUAUAAAAAGCAAAGUUAAUUUCAAGUUACAGUUUAAUCAUUAAACUACUAUUUAUAUAAAUAUUAAAUAUGAAGUAUUUAUAUUUUUUAUUACACUAUAAUAGUAUUAUUGGUAAUAUAAGUAAUGUGAGUAUAAGUAGUAAAAGAAAUAUUUUUAAGGAACUCGGCAAAAAUGCUGUUCAACUGUUUACCAAAAACAUAACUAUAUGUUUUAAUAUAUAGCUGUUCUGCUCAAUGGUACAUCUAAAUAGCCGCAGUACUCUGACUGUGCAAAGGUAGCAUAAUCAGUUGGCUUUUAAUUGGAGUCUGGAAUGAACGAAAGCAUGGGUAGCAACUGUCUCAAUAUAAUAUUUUAUUGAAAUUGGUAUGCAAGUGCAAAAACUUGCUAUAAUAAAAAAGACGAGAAGACCCUAGAAACUUCUAAUAUUAUUUUGUUGGGGCGACAGAAUUACAUAUAACUAAUUUUAUAGUACAUGACGUUAUUCAGGAAGAUAAAGUUACUCUAGGGAUAACAGCAUAAUUUUUCAGUUUGUGACCUCGAUGUUGGACUAGGUAUAUAAUUUUUUAGAAGAAAAUUAAUAAAGCUCUGUUCGAGCAAUAAAACCUACAUGAUCUGAGUU
Molecule: ribosomal RNA, 820 nt
Filed under: Loxana beaumieri
Lineage: Eukaryota; Metazoa; Mollusca; Gastropoda; Stylommatophora; Helicidae
Description: partial large subunit ribosomal RNA
Source: RNAcentral